AACGCGAAGAACCUUACCUACCCUUGACAUCCUCGGAAGCUGACAGAGAUGUUGGUGUGCCUUCGGGAACCGAGAGACAGGUGCUGCAUGGCUGUCGUCAGCUCGUGUCGUGAGAUGUUGGGUUAAGUCCCGUAACGAGCGCAACCCCUAUUCCUAGUUGCCAACAGGUAAAGCUGGGAACUCUAAGGAGACUGCCGGUGACAAGCCGGAGGAAGGUGGGGAUGACGUCAAGUCCUCAUGGCCCUUACGGGUAGGGCUACACACGUGCUACAAUGGACGGUACAAAGGGAAGCGAAGCUGUGAAGUGAAGCGGAUCUUAUGAAAGCCGUUCGUAGUCCGGAUUGGAGUCUGCAACUCGACUCCAUGAAGUUGGAAUCGCUAGUAAUCGCGGAUCAGAACGCCGCGGUGAAUACGUUCCCGGGCCUUGUACACACCGAGACGAC
This 443-nucleotide ribosomal RNA is filed under the name uncultured bacterium. Its description in RNAcentral is "bacterial SSU rRNA". It matches the Rfam family "Bacterial small subunit ribosomal RNA", at positions 958 to 1398 of the family's 1533-position model. The record is from RNAcentral.